CCUAUCGCCACGAAAAGGUAUUCCAGCUCACCACCUCACAGGAAUCGUCCUGGUCUAAGUGGAGCUUGCUCUGCACCUCAGCCCUGAGUUCACAGGAAAAGAUUGGAAUGUCCACAGUGCAAGGUGUUCGACAUUGGACGGACAAAGAGAUGCC
Long non-coding RNA from Oncorhynchus masou masou (cherry salmon), 154 nucleotides. RefSeq lists it as uncharacterized. The record is from RefSeq and is a predicted model, not a curated record. NCBI's taxonomy places the organism in Eukaryota, Metazoa, Chordata, Actinopteri, Salmoniformes, Salmonidae. The transcript is spliced from 3 exons.